UACGGAGGGUGCAAGCGUUAUCCGGAUUCACUGGGUUUAAAGGGUGCGUAGGCGGGUAUAUAAGUCAGUGGUGAAAGCUCCGAGCUUAACUUGGAAACUGCCAUUGAUACUGUAUAUCUUGAAUGUCGUUGAGGUUAGCGGAAUGUUGCUUGUAGCGGUGAAAUGCUUAGAUAUGUUACAGAACACCAAUUGUGAAGACAGCUAACUAAGCGAUGAUUGACGCUGAGGCACGAAAGCGUGGGGAGCAAACAGG
This 253-nucleotide ribosomal RNA is filed under the name uncultured bacterium. Its description in RNAcentral is "partial 16S ribosomal RNA". It matches the Rfam family "Bacterial small subunit ribosomal RNA", at positions 524 to 776 of the family's 1533-position model. The record is from RNAcentral.